RNAcentral lists this transfer RNA (77 nucleotides) under Hyphomonadaceae bacterium. Its description in RNAcentral is "tRNA-Pro". It matches the Rfam family "tRNA". From Rfam's summary of the family: Transfer RNA (tRNA) molecules are approximately 80 nucleotides in length. Their secondary structure includes four short double-helical elements and three loops (D, anti-codon, and T loops). Lineage: Bacteria; Pseudomonadati; Pseudomonadota; Alphaproteobacteria; Hyphomonadales; Hyphomonadaceae. RNAcentral also lists the same sequence under 3 other names. The record is from RNAcentral.
CGGGGCGUAGCUCAGCCUGGUAGAGCACCUGCUUUGGGAGCAGGGGGUCGCGAGUUCGAGUCCCGCCGCCCCGACCA